Molecule: ribosomal RNA, 447 nt
Filed under: uncultured bacterium
Lineage: Bacteria
Description: partial 16S ribosomal RNA
Rfam family: Bacterial small subunit ribosomal RNA
Source: RNAcentral
AACGAACGCUGGCGGCAGGCUUAACACAUGCAAGUCGAGCGCCCCGCAAGGGGAGCGGCAGACGGGUGAGUAACGCGUGGGAAUCUACCGUGCCCUACGGAAUAGCUCCGGGAAACUGGAAUUAAUACCGUAUACGCCCUACGGGGGAAAGAUUUAUCGGGGUAUGAUGAGCCCGCGUUGGAUUAGCUAGUUGGUGGGGUAAAGGCCUACCAAGGCGACGAUCCAUAGCUGGUCUGAGAGGAUGAUCAGCCACAUUGGGACUGAGACACGGCCCAAACUCCUACGGGAGGCAGCAGUGGGGAAUAUUGGACAAUGGGCGCAAGCCUGAUCCAGCCAUGCCGCGUGGGUGAUGAAGGUCUUAGGAUUGUAAAGCUCUUUCACCGGUGAAGAUAAUGACGGUAACCGGAGAAGAAGCACCGGCUAACUCCGUGCCAGCCGCCGCGGUAA